This 4382-nucleotide long non-coding RNA is filed under the name Canis lupus familiaris (dog). Its description in RNAcentral is "lncRNA (ENSCAFG00000056174.1)". Lineage: Eukaryota; Metazoa; Chordata; Mammalia; Carnivora; Canidae. The record is from RNAcentral.
UUUUUUUUUUUUUUUUUUUUACUUUCCUUCUUUAGAGCGAAAGUUCAUAAUAUAAUAAACACGUUGCCUUUGAGAAAGCACUGAAAUACCAGCUGGCAAAAAGAUGGAGUAUAUAUCUUUAAAUAGUAGAAUGAACAAUUGAUACGUUCUUGCUGGGAAUUCACCUAUAUAUGAUAAGUAUUGCUUAGCACCAGAUGCCUGGUUAAUUUUGUUUGUUUGUUUGUUUCCUAAUUAUAAAUGAGGUGUGUAUGUUACACCAAAAUGAUGACCACAAUCUAAACGGUCUGUAGAACUCUCAUACGCUGCUGGUCUUGAACUCAAUAACAAAAAGAAAAUAAUCUGAUUUAAAAAUGGGUAAAGGGUCUUAAUGGACAUUUCUUCAAAGAAGAUAUAUGAAUGGCCAAUAAGGACAUGCAAAGCUAUUUAAUAUCAUUAAUAAUUAGGGAAAUGAAAAAAAAUAAUUAGGGAAAUGCAUAUAUCAAAGCCAUGAUGGCACACCAGUACAUACAUACCCCUUACAAUGGUAAUAGGAAUAAUAAUAACAUUCAAUAAAAAUAAAAGGUAGCAUGUGUUGAUGAAAAUGUGGAGAAAGUGGAUAUAUUAUAUUAUAUAUAUAUAUAAGUUAUAUAUAUAAGUUAUAUAUAAGUUAUAUAUAUAUAUAUAACAUAUAUAUCCACUUAUAUUUAUAAACUUAUGCAUGGGAAGUUUAUCAUAUACAAUGUAUAUUUAUUACAUAUUUACUUGAUUGUAUAAUCCUCCCCAAAUAUCUUCUAUUGAGAUGUUAGUAUGUUAGUUUGGUAACUAAUAUGUUCAUAUCUCUAAUUAUAGUAAACUACUUAUAUCAAUUAAUACUUAAGGAAUAUAGUUUUGAUGUAAUAAUUAUUGCUAAGUCAAACACAUAUUUGAUAAGAUUCUAUUAAAUCUUAAAAUAAUGUCAUAUAAAUAUCAAUUUUCUUACAACCAAUAUUGACACUUUAAGUGUCUGUUAGUGUUUUAGAGGAAAGAGAGAUAGUAUUGAAAUUUAUCAGGUAUGCUUCCUAUUCUCAACAGACAAAUAGAACAUUAGAAGAGAUGAGUAUGUGAAAACUCUAAUAUGAGCCAAAUGGGUUCAGAGCUCUAAUAAAUGUAAAGCAAAGCAAUAUAAUCUAAAAUAGUGAUAUUAAUUCAGAUUGGAAAACUAGGGAAGACUUGAUAAAAGUAAAAGAAGGAGAUAUUUGAGCUGGAAUAGUAUAAGAAAAUAAAUCUCUUAUUUUGUUACUUUAAGAUAAUUUUUGUCCUUUCAUUAUUAAAACCCUUCAUUUUCAGUCUAGCUUUUGGGUAUUUUAUAAUAUUUAGAUUUACUUCUAAUAACCUAGAGUAAUUACUUAUGGAAGCACCCUGGGAAAUAAAUGCAAAGUUGGUUGAUUGUGAUCACUUUUUAAGCAUAUAUAAUUAAAAGUCAAAAAAAUACAAUUUAUUUACCAAGCACAGAGGAAACUCAAUAGAAAUCUGCAGGGAUCAUCUUUUUAUCACUCAGUUAUCGUAUCCAUCUUCAUUAUAAAGUUUCCUGUAUAAGAACCAGAUACAAUAAACAUGACAAUGGCAUGAGGCAAAUUAUAAAAAUGAAAUACUAACUCAAAGAUGAUUGAGGGUUUAGCUUACUUGAGCUAAACUUUGUAAAAUAUACGAUCGCUCCUUCCUGUGAAUGUUUCAUACUAAAUCUUACUUUGAUUUAUGAUGUUGGAAACCUAUGAAGGCAUGCUUUCUAAUACAUAUACCCAGUCACGGCUGAAUACCUCACUAAUGUACUAUAUUCCCUGAUGAACCAACCAAUUUAAUAACUUUGCCAAUGCCAGCUUUUGAACAAAGCAGCCCCUCAUUGACAUUCCAGUGCAGUAGCUAAUAACAAUUAGAUUUCAUUAUAGCAUUGUAUCUUGCUAUUGUCAUCCCAACAAGAGAUGCUUUCCUUAUAAUCCGUACAAUUGACAUAAAUGUAAAUGUUAGUCCAACCCACCAAAUAAGUAGUCUAUGGACCCUCAUUACCAGAUAUGAGCUCACAUCUGUCUCAUUGUCAUAUAUUGUUUUUCCAUGUCAUUUAUUUUCUAGUCUUUGAAAAGGCUCCAACAUUUUUCAAUUUUUGAAAUCCUGUCACUAAUUUGGCAAAAUUGUUCAGGCUCUAGAGAAAUGUAUCUCUUUUUUGUUAAUAUUGUCCUUUUAGAACCCAAGUAACUAAACAGUGUGCUUAUCUACACAUUGUAUGGAUAGAAAACUCAGGUUUUCUUAGUACAGAUGUUAGAAUCUAAACAUUACACAAAGUGCUAUAUUCAAAAAAAUUAUCAUCUUUGCUUCUUUGCUCACCUAGACGGUCAUUUUGGCAAUUUGACAAUAAUGACAAAAGACUUGUAAAGAUGUUAAAGGAAAUAAUAUAAUUGAAAUACGUUGUUCAAUGUAGACAAGACAGGGUUGAAUUUGCAUUACUAUAGCUAUAGAGAGCUAUAAAAAGCCAUUUAAAUUAAACUGAUUAUCAAAGUAAUGGAAUGGCAUAUGGAUAUAUGAACAUGGCAUUUAAUGGCUUUUUCAGGAUUUCCUUUAAGUUACAUUAACCUUCAGAUUUCUGAAAAGACGAUGAACCAACAUAGGUUGCUGAAAUCUAUUCUAUAGGAAGAUGCCACAGAGAAGCAAGGAAUUUGAUGGACCACAGACACAUUAAAACUAUGAAAAGUCUCUUGGAGAGAUUAAAGAUGGUUGGUAUCUAAUAGGAGAAACUACACAGUGGUCCAGAGCUGAGGCUGAGGCAAAAUUCUCAUAUUGUUUCCUCCUUCUCCCUGACCCCCACUCAUCACUGCAAUGGGUGAGUCAAUGCUCUGUCCUCAGCAUUAAAAAGGAGAAAGCAAACAAACAAAAACAGUAAGACUAGCCCAAUCCAAACUAGAGAAUUUGGGAGUAAUGCCUUAGGAUACAAACUCAUGGGCACUAACUAGUAUGGCCUUGUGAACCAAAAUCUCUGAGGUGGGGCUAAAUUAUUUGUUUUAACAGGUUUGCUAGGAGCUUCUGGCAGGAAGCUCAAGUUUUGCCAAGAGCACUCAAGUUAGAGAAGUUCUAGAGCCUACAUAGGGUGGAGAGUGGUUAAGAGAUAUAGGUAUAUUUCUAGCAAAAAUCUCUCUUUCCAUGGAAGAACAACAGUGCUGGAUACGAUAGUCCUCCAGAAAAAAUCGUAAAGGAAGAGGAUGAUGAUAGUUGGGUGAAGAGAGAAAAAUGAAAGUGAUAUAUUCUAGCCUUUCUGUUCUGAAGCAUUUAACUUUCUUUCUAAAAUCUCCAGAAGCAUUAUCAAUAUCCUUAUAAGGUAAAGGAGUAAUAUUGGAAAUAUUAAAUAAAAACAAAUUUUAAAAGAUUUUAUUUAUUUAUUCAUGAGACACACACACACACACACAGAGGCAGAGACACAGGCAGAGGGAGAAGCAGGCUCCAUGCAGGGAGCCUGACAUGGGACUCGAUUAUGGGUCCCCAGGAUCAGGCCCCAGGCUGAAGGAGGUGCUAAACCGCUAAGCCACCCAGGCUGCCCAAGUAAAAAUAAUUUUAAAGAAAACCCAAAGAGAAAUAAUGAGUAUAAAAAAAGAAAAUAUUAAUUUACUGAUGGGUUACAUGGCCAGAUGAAUUCAACUAAAGGACAAACUUGUAAACUGAACCAUUAAGUUCAGGAAUUCUCCCAGAAGGCAAAGAUAAAGAAAUAAAUAAUGAGAGACAAAGUAAGCUAAGAGAUAGAAAGGAUAGAAGGAGAAAUGUUAAUGUUCAUUUAAUAAUAGUUCCAUGAGAGAAAAUAUGAGAAGAAUAUUUGAAGCAAAAAUGACCGAGAUUUUUUCAGAACUAAGACCACAAAUUAAAAGGGUUCAUAAUAUACUGUUAAAAACAAACUUAUACUAAGCCUCCGGUUGCCAAACCAGGACUUAUCUUAAUUACAGUUUUGGCCCUUGUAGAAAUGGGACCUCAACUCAGUUGUGGGGAAUCACCUGGUCAGCACUAAUGAGGUAAUUGGCUGGGUAGACCCCUGUCCUCCCUGGAGGGAAAGUGACCUUGCCACAGGAAUCCACUUGUUGCUAGUAUAAUUUCCUUGUCCUGCUCCCUUUUGCCUAUAAACAUCUUUCAUUUUGUACAGCUUCUCAGAGCUCCUUUCUGUCAGCUAGAAGGGAUGUUGCCUAAUUCAUGAAUUGUUGAAUAAAGCCAAUAAGAUCUUUAAAAUUUGCUCAGUUAAAUUAUGUUUUUUAACAAAACUAAACCAUGGAGAUGGAGGUGAAGGUAGGAACACUUGAGAACAUAACUAAAUUAAAUUUAACAACAUUAACAGCCAAACAAUUUUUUUUUUCUAAAAACUUCCUGAGGGAAAAUGCUUACAUCUACAAAGUCCC